This 592-nucleotide ribosomal RNA is filed under the name Streptomyces sp. RNAcentral's name for it is "bacterial SSU rRNA". It matches the Rfam family "Bacterial small subunit ribosomal RNA", at positions 283 to 885 of the family's 1533-position model. The record is from RNAcentral. Lineage: Bacteria; Bacillati; Actinomycetota; Actinomycetes; Kitasatosporales; Streptomycetaceae.
AAGGNCGGCCUGAGAGGCUGACCGGCUACACUGGGUCUGAGACACGGCCCAGACUCCUACGCGAGGCAGCAGUGGGGAAUAUUGCACAAUGGGCGAAAGCAUGAUGCAGCGACGUGGCGCGAGGAAUGACGGCCUUCGGGUUGUAAACCUCUUUCAGCAGGGAAGAAGCGAAAGUGACGGUACCUGCAGAAGAAGCGCCGACUAACUACGUGCCAGCAGCCGCGAUAGGCCGCGGGGCGCAAGCGUGGUCCGGAAUUAUUGGGCGUAAAGAGCUCGUAGGCGGCUUGUCACGUCGGGUGUGAAAGACCGGGGCUUAACCCCGGUUCUGCAUUCGAUACGGGCUAGCUAGAGUGUGGUAGGGGAGAUCGGAAUUCCUGGUGUAGCGGUGAAAUGCGCAGAUAUCAGGAGGAACACCGGUGGCGAAGGCGGAUCUCUGGGCCAUUACUGACGCUGAGGAGCGAAAGCGUGGGGAGCGAACAGGAUUAGAUACCCUGGUAGUCCACGCCGUAAACGGUGGGAACUAGGUGUUGGCAACAUUCCACGUUGUCGGUGCCGCAGCUAACGCAUUAAGUUCCCCGCCUGGGGAGUACGG